RNAcentral lists this ribosomal RNA (475 nucleotides) under uncultured bacterium. Its description in RNAcentral is "bacterial SSU rRNA". It matches the Rfam family "Bacterial small subunit ribosomal RNA", at positions 30 to 499 of the family's 1533-position model. The record is from RNAcentral.
AUUGAACGCUGGCGGCAUGCCUUACACAUGCAAGUCGAACGGCAGCACGGGAGCAAUCCUGGUGGCGAGUGGCGAACGGGUGAGUAAUAUAUCGGAACGUGCCCAGACGUGGGGGAUAACUACUCGAAAGAGUGGCUAAUACCGCAUACGAUCUACGGAUGAAAGCGGGGGAUCGCAAGACCUCGCGCGUCUGGAGCGGCUGAUGGCAGAUUAGGUAGUUGGUGGGAUAAAAGCCUACCAAGCCAACGAUCUGUAGCUGGUCUGAGAGGAUGAUCAGCCACACUGGGACUGAGACACGGCCCAGACUCCUACGGGAGGCAGCAGUGGGGAAUUUUGGACAAUGGGCGAAAGCCUGAUCCAGCCAUUCCGCGUGCAGGAUGAAGGCCCUCGGGUUGUAAACUGCUUUUGUACAGAACGAAAAGCUCUGGCUAAUACCUGGAGUCCAUGACGGUACUGUAAGAAUAAGCACCGGCUA